GACGAACGCUGGCGGCGUGCUUAACACACGCAAGUCGAACGGAAAGGCCUGCUUUCCCUUGUGGAUUGCGGGUACUCGAGUGGCGAACGGGUGGGUAACACGUGAGUGAUCUGCCCCCAACUUGGGUAUAAGCCUGGGAAACUGGGUCUAAUUCCCGAUAGGACUGCAGGGUGGUGCCUGUGGUGGAAAACGAUUUUCUAGUGGUUGGGGAUGAGCUCGCGGCCUAUCAGCUUGUUGGUGGGGUAAUGGCCUACCAAGGCGGCGACGGGUAGCCGGCCUGAGAGGGUGGACGGCCACAUUGGGACUGAGAUACGGCCCAGACUCCGACGGGAGGCAGCAGUGGGGAAUAUUGCACAAUGGGCGGAAGCCUGAUGCAGCGACGCCGCGUGGGGGAUGACGGCCUUCGGGUUGUAAACUCCUUUCGACCGCGAGGAAGCCACCUGGUUGGAAGGGUGGUGACGGUAGUGGUAGAAGAAGCACCGGCUAACUACGUG
This 494-nucleotide ribosomal RNA is filed under the name uncultured bacterium. RNAcentral's name for it is "partial 16S ribosomal RNA". It matches the Rfam family "Bacterial small subunit ribosomal RNA", at positions 28 to 507 of the family's 1533-position model. The record is from RNAcentral.